RNAcentral lists this ribosomal RNA (516 nucleotides) under uncultured Kocuria sp. Its description in RNAcentral is "partial 16S ribosomal RNA". It matches the Rfam family "Bacterial small subunit ribosomal RNA", at positions 8 to 534 of the family's 1533-position model. Lineage: Bacteria; Bacillati; Actinomycetota; Actinomycetes; Micrococcales; Micrococcaceae. The record is from RNAcentral.
AGAGUUUGAUCCUGGCUCAGGACGAACGCKGGCGGCGUGCUUAACACAUGCAAGUCGAACGCUGAAGCACCAGCUUGCUGGUGUGGAUGAGUGGCGAACGGGUGAGUAAUACGUGAGUAACCUGCCCUUGACUCUGGGAUAAGCCCGGGAAACUGGGUCUAAUACUGGAUGCUACAUGUCACCGCAUGGUGGUGUGUGGAAAGGGUUUACUGGUCUUGGAUGGGCUCACGGCCUAUCAGCUUGUUGGUGAGGUAAUGGCUCACCAAGGCGACGACGGGUAGCCGGCCUGAGAGGGUGACCGGCCACACUGGGACUGAGACACGGCCCAGACUCCUACGGGAGGCMGCAGUGGGGAAUAUUGCACAAUGGGCGAAAGCCUGAUGCAGSGACGCCGCGUGAGGGAUGACGGCCUUCGGGUUGUAAACCUCUUUCAGCAGGGARGAAGCCACAAGUGACGGUACCUGCAGAAGARGSGCCGGCUAACUACGUGCCAGCAGCCGCRGUAAUMCYAKSGCU